UUCCCCUAGUAACUGCGAGUGAAGCGGGAAAAGCUCAAAUUUAAAAUCUGGUAGUCUUUGGCUGCCCGAGUUGUAAUCUAGAGAAGCAUUAUCCGCGCUGGACCGUGUAUAAGUCUCCUGGAAUGGAGCGUCAUAGAGGGUGAGAAUCCCGUCUUUGAUACGGACUACCAGGGCUUUGUGAUGUGCUCUCAAAGAGUCGAGUUGUUUGGGAAUGCAGCUCUAAAUGGGUGGUAAAUUCCAUCUAAAGCUAAAUAUUGGCGAGAGACCGAUAGCGAACAAGUACCGUGAGGGAAAGAUGAAAAGAACUUUGGAAAGAGAGUUAAACAGUACGUGAAAUUGUUGAAAGGGAAACGCUUGAAGUCAGUCGCGUUGUCCAGGGAUCAACCUUGCUUUUGCUUGGUGUAUUUCCUGGUUUUAACGGGUCAGCAUCAAUUUUGAUCAGUGGAAAAAGAUCAAAGGAAUGUGGCAUCUUCGGAUGUGUUAUAGCCUUUGGUUGUAUACAUUGGUUGGGAUUGAGGAACUCAGCACGCCGCAAGGCCGGGUUUUUAACCACGUUCGUGCUUAGGAUGCUGGCAUAAUGGCUUUAAUCGACCCGUCUUGAAACACGGACCAAGGAGUCUAACAUACCUGCGAGUGUUUGGGUGGAAAAUCCAAGCGCGUAAUGAAAGUGAAAGUUGGGAUCUCUGUCGUGGGGAGCACCGACGCCCGGACCAGACCUUCUGUGACGGAUCCGCGGUAGAG
This 741-nucleotide ribosomal RNA is filed under the name Entoloma alnetorum. Its description in RNAcentral is "eukaryotic LSU rRNA". It matches the Rfam family "Eukaryotic large subunit ribosomal RNA", at positions 75 to 800 of the family's 3401-position model. RNAcentral also lists the same sequence under 1 other name. Lineage: Eukaryota; Fungi; Basidiomycota; Agaricomycetes; Agaricales; Entolomataceae. The record is from RNAcentral.